UACGUAGGGGGCAAGCGUUAUCCGGAAUUACUGGGUGUAAAGGGAGCGUAGACGGUAAUGUAAGUCUGGAGUGAAAGGCGGGGGCCCAACCCCCGGACUGCUCUGGAAACUAUGUUACUGGAGUGCAGGAGAGGUAAGCGGAAUUCCUAGUGUAGCGGUGAAAUGCUUAGAUAUCACGAAGAACUCCGAUUGCGAAGGCAGCCUGCUGGACUGUAACUGACGCUGAUGCUCGAAAGUGUGGGUAUCAAACAGG
RNAcentral lists this ribosomal RNA (253 nucleotides) under uncultured Eubacteriales bacterium. Its description in RNAcentral is "uncultured Clostridiales bacterium partial 16S ribosomal RNA". It matches the Rfam family "Bacterial small subunit ribosomal RNA", at positions 524 to 776 of the family's 1533-position model. Lineage: Bacteria; Bacillati; Bacillota; Clostridia; Eubacteriales. The record is from RNAcentral.